GCAUUCCUACCUGGAUAUAAUCUGAGACCCAGAACACCACAGGCAGCCUUUCUCCACUGGAUUCCCAGAGGAACAGGGUCCAUCUACACCACAGGACUUCAGAGGUGAGCUACACCCUUCUGUGGGAUCAUUGCUUCAUCAGAACCACAUCUGUCACUCCAGGAGCACUGCAGACACCGUUUAAUCAGACUGCUGCCAACACCCUGCCCAACAGGGGGUCAGGUUGUGUUUUGACUGUCAAGAGAAAGAUAUCGAGACUGAGACACUUUCAUGUCACCAGAGUCAACAAUGGGGAAAAGGAACCUUUCUGCAAGAAUGUUCUAGGCAACCUCCUCAGCAACAGGAGGUGAUGUUCAGGGACCAUUUCACCAGCCCAUGAGGACACAGGAUGAGGAUAUCUGCAUCCAGCUGAGCUCUGUCAAAACCACUUUCAUGCCUCUUAUACCUUUCUUUCCAUACUGCAAAUCCAUGUUAGGUUCAAGACUGCUUGAGAUAUCUGUGGCUGGCAAUGAACAUCCUACCCACUGCUGGUGCUUUAGGAGCCCUUUCUGCAGCACCUGCCUCUUUGGGACAGGGGCUGGGGCACACAGUAGCUCAUCACCUCAUUUUAACAGCACAGCUGAUAUCUUGGUGCACUAACUUCAGUAAUUUCACUGCAGGAGAGCUGUAAUUCUGACUGUUGUAAGAAUACAGACAAAUUUGUCACCCUGCUUCAGUCUGUGAACUGAAGAUAAAUAUAUAGAUUGUUUGACCCUGGAUACAAAACCCACCACUUCCCUUUAUGCUUCUUGCAAUUUGGGAAAGUUUGCCCAGAAAGGGUAAGAAAACAUUCAGCUGCUGCAGGUCCUCCUAAGCCCACCAGCUUGUUUGUUUGUUUGUUUAAUUUGCUACAUAUGAUUAACUCCACUGAGUUUCUGCCAGGCAGGAUUUGCAACUCAAAGUACUCCAUGAGUGUGCUGCAACACUGCCAGGAAGUGAACACCCCCAGUCUUCAUAGCUGCUGUUUUUCUGUGGAAAAUGGAAAAAUAGAAACUUCCACAGGUGCUGAAGGGCUCAAUCUGCAGCCUUAGAAAGAGCUUGGGUUAAUUUAAUCAUAAAGGUACACUAACAUUAAGUAGGAAAAUGAUAAACUAAUGUUCCUAUAGUUAUAAGUCAGAAUAUGUCUUGAGUAAGUAAGAAAUUAUAUUGGGUAAAAUAGUGAGAGGUUUGAGCUGUAAUAAUGGGAUUUAUAAGGUAGGCUAAGGAUCUAGAAGCUAUAAUAGAGGUGUGUGUGUGUGUAUGAGUACAUGACCUAUGAGGUUUUUGGCUGAAAGACAUACACAGUGGGGAAGAAUUAGGCAAAAGUGAUCAGUUAAUAAGUAGAAACAAGUUUUGUGUUAACUGUCUAUUGGACCAAAAUGUUACAUAUUGCUGUGUGAAGAAGAAACCUGUGGCUACCUUUAAGCUAUGGCUGACUUGUUGCUCCUCUCCAAAUCUCACACCUUUGAGAUUGAUAUCUCACCUGGCUUACUUGAGCAAUAAAUCACCUUAAAUAGCACGGUGGUCCCAUCCCUUGUUUUUCAUCUCGGUGUUUUUCCAAAGAACAGGUAUAGCAGGCUAUAAAUGGAAAUCAGAAAAUGAGAUUUUCUUUGCCUGCUAGUUCUUCUCCUGGGAAUUUUAGUCCUUUCCUCUGUGCACAUGCUUUGGUUGUUGGUGGCAGAAGUUGGUAAUAUGGGUCUCUCAGAGCAUCAGUCACUGCAGCCCGUUCUGAAGCACUGCAAUGCCAGUGGACAUGGCAAAUCAUUCCCACUAGUACCAACAUUUUUUUUUUUUUAAUCUAAAAUCACAUAUUAGAUCAAAUCCAGAUCAGGAUAGCCUGAUUUACCCCAUGAUUCCAGUGACAGGUAAUUCAAAAUUAAGGUUUACCAACUAAUUAAGGUAUUUCCCAGCUACCUGCACUUCCUUUUCUAAUAGUGGUAAUCCAUUUGCAGCUCUCAGUUUUGCAGAUUGCCUGUCACCUCCAGUGGAUGAUCAAAGUCUAGCCAUGAAUGCAGGCAUUCUGGACUUGCAGUCCUCUCAAUAUCAGGGAUGUCUGGCCUUGCCUUCAGUCUAUAGCACAGACACUGCCCUCCAAAUCAUCCAUAUCAUAUGGAUCUAAUGCAAGAACUUUGCACGGCCUUUAAAUCUGAGAUGUUCCACUUACCAUUCUUCUGUCACCAAUUCUUCUAUCAUUAGUUCUGUCAUUCUCAUGAAUUAUGCUUUGUGCUUUUUUUUUUUUUUUUUCUGGAAAAAGCUUUGCAUUAUUAGGAAUUCAAGAGAUUAGGUUUUGCUACAGCAACAUGCAGAUCUCAGAACUUAACAAACCCUCACAUGCACUUUUCUCCUGCCCCUAAUGGUAAUGAGAAGCAUUUUCUGGGCUAGGAAAUACCCUCAUUAUUUCAUGUCAGGGUGAUACUAGGCCUGUAUCCUCUUGUUUGAUUAAAUGCUAAUCACAGGGUCAAAAAAUAAUAAUCCUUUGAUAUUUUAGUCAAUUGUAGUACUACUGAGAAGCACUCUCUUCCUGCCUAUAGAAAUCAAAAAAUACAUUUAACCUUGGAAAAACAUGAUUCAUGUUAUUUUCUUCACUGAAGGAAAAGGAGUGGGCUUUUUUGGGUACAAGCCUAUUCAGUGAAAGAUAACUUAGUCAACAGGGGUCAGCUCUGGCACUGAGAGAAGAUGAAAGAUUUUGAGAGAAUAUGUGAAAAAACCAGAUGGCUUUAACUAAAUUAAUAGAAAACAUAUUUUGUGUUUUACCCAGCCAUCAUGUGAUAAUCCUGACAUCCCAAACUGUCGUCACAGUCACACUCUCACUCUCUUAGCCUUCCACUUUGCUUUGUCAUUUACAGCAUUCAUGUGCUUGACUUCAAGCAACUGAUGCUGUUCACUGGUUACUUGGUUUGACAUUAAAAUAUCAUUAAAAUUGGAAGAACAUUUAGAAAGUUGGAGGAUGGUACCCACUAAAAAUUCUCAGAGCACAGUGAAAGAUGUAAAGUGACUGAACUCUUGGAUUUACUUUGAAGAGGUCCUGUCCCCCUCUGUCUCUCCUUGCCCACCCUUGCUGAUGCUGCUUCCUCUGCACCUUUCUCAUGGAGGCUCCUUUCUUUUCACGUGAUUUAUUCAGAUGUCUUCAUCCUCAUCCCUCUCUAGUCCUCCUCCAGAAACAGCUGGAGACCCAGCAAUUACCUGUGCCUACCUCCUUGCCUUAUCACCAGCUCAAAGCUUUCAAAUUAUUGUUGGUAAUGGCUGACCCCCAUCAUUUAAUUGUUGUAGUUUGUUUAUUUAAUUUUGUUAAGGAUGUGUUGAAGCUUGUUAGUACGUUCUUGUUUCCCCCUGUUGAUUGUAUUGGUUUGGCCCCAGCUGUCAGUUAUGUAAACCCCUCCUAUUUUUCCUGAAUGUUCCCUGCCAGUCACCUCAGCCCUGCCCCUACACCUCUUUCCAUCAUUGUAAACCCCACCCCUUCUUCCAGAGCUUUCUGUAUCAAUCAGUUAUCCCUCGAGGCCCCACUGGUUAGUGUCUCUUGCUCCCUCCCUCUGUGAACCCCUAUUGGUCUGGAAGGUGUGAUCCCCUCCCCUUACUCCUCCUCUCAAGAUUCCCCAUUGGUCUGCAGUGUGUGCCCUCCCCUGGGGUCAGGCCAUACUUAACUCCUUGCACAGCAAUGCUCAGGGCUCCCUUGGACCUGAUCCCUUCCAGCAUGGGCCCCUCGUUUCCCUCUCCUAAUAAAACCAUUGCUGGGAACUGCAGUCCAGGAACUACAAUCUGCUUUCUUGUCCCCACACCUGACACCGUGCACCACAGAGCUUGGGGUGGCCCAAGACCCUGGAGGUUUCACUGAGGGAAAAGCCAACUCCCCAGGGAUUCCCCACUCCUGGUGUUUGCCUGUGCUGGAGUGCAGACACCACUGUACAGCCAGGCAGAGCUCCAGUGCAGCGUCAUUUAACCCCAGUUUUCUCUGUAAAACCCCUUGUCCCAGGACUCCUUUGUCCUUGAGCCACAGUGGUUCCUCAAAAUUAGAGGAGCAAGAAUGAACAGGUUAGAGCUGUAAGGACACACAGCUCUCAGCCAGCAGCAUCCUGACCUUCAGCAGAGUCCACGAGUCCAGUAACCACUGAAACUUUACAAAGUUACGUCUAAAGGGUGGUGACCACAGGUCCAUCCCUGUGUUUGCAGCAUCCACCAGGUGCUUGAUUCCAUUGAUGAUCCUAUGGGCUAUCAAAGAGAGUUAAUAUCAGGAUAUGUAUCAGAAAAGCAGCUUUUCUCAGAAUAGAAAUGGAGAUCAGGAGGCAGAAGCCCUCAGUGCCUAAAUAGGGUUUAAAUCUGAACAAGAGGUGUGGGCUAAUCUAUCCUGCUAGAGCAAGGAAUACUCUGGUUUUGUUAUUCGUGUUUUCUUACAUUGCCCCAUGUGCUGUGCAGGCACAAAGGAACUUGUGCAGAACAUCAGCAGUGCUAAAUCAUGAUCCUCAUCUCCUGCUCUCCCAGCCUUCCACCAGAGGUUAUUUUUCACCACCAACCUAAAUGGGCUCAGAAGAAAGCUCUGUCUUUGGUUUAAAUAAUUCAGUACUUUGGCCUGGAUAUUCUGAGAGGCCCCACGAAUCUCAGCCUUCACAGCAAUUUCUAAAAUAAAGUAAAAGCAAUAGAAUAAAAUGAAAUAACCUAACAAUAAAUUAAAUAAAAUAAAUUAGUCUAAGUCACCAUCAGCUUUAUGACUGAGCUCUUCUGCCACAUUCACAGCUCCCACUUGGGAUCAGACCUGCUGCUUCUCCAUCUUGGUUGGUUGGUGUCCAAGGCAAUGGCAAGACAGCAGUUUAUUUCAGCUGAAAAUUUGAUGCCAGGCUAUUUUGGGACUGAGUGAAACUUGUCCUCCAUAAUUACUUUACAAUCAGUGAAGAGCUCUUUCUAGAGCAGCCUGAUGUGAUACAAAACAUGCUUUAAAUAUUCUGGGCUUGUACUGCGUAACAGCAAGAAAGGACAAUGGCCUGCAGAGUGCAGGGUGCUCAGUAGAGAGGCCACAAAAGUGCUGUGGCUGUCACAGAAUGGGCAGAAAUAAACCACUUAAGCAGCUAACAGGGGACCAAGGAAAUCCACAGGAGAGCUGGAAAGUUUAUGAUGUGUGAUAACACAUCACUCUGUAGUGCUAUGUGGAAUUUUAUUACAAAAAUACAUGUACUUUGAGAAAUGAAA
This is a long non-coding RNA of Parus major (Great Tit), 5196 nucleotides long. RefSeq lists it as uncharacterized. Lineage: Eukaryota; Metazoa; Chordata; Aves; Passeriformes; Paridae. The transcript is spliced from 2 exons. The record is from RefSeq and is a predicted model, not a curated record.